RNAcentral lists this microRNA precursor (91 nucleotides) under Bombyx mori (domestic silkworm). RNAcentral describes it as "mir-2807 microRNA precursor family". It matches the Rfam family "mir-2807 microRNA precursor family". The record is from Rfam by way of RNAcentral. Lineage: Eukaryota; Metazoa; Arthropoda; Insecta; Lepidoptera; Bombycidae.
GAAAUUUGGAAAUUUGGAAAUAUAGUUGGAACGUUUACCUACGUUUGCCGCUAGGGGCGCUGUUCCAACUGCAUACUACAAAUUUGAGUUA